CACCCUUUCACGGACUUUUAAACUGAGAAGGAAGGAACCACGUGGAAGAUUCUCAACAGGUUCUAGCAAACACUGAGCAGUUUUGUGAAGAAUGCCCUUCUCUGAGAGAAACCUGCAUCUAGAAGCCAACAUAAAGGGACAAGGUAAGCCAGAGGAUAUCCCUCAUAUCUCAGAAAGAGAAAAACAGUGGUGAUUUUCAGCCCUGGAAA
RNAcentral lists this long non-coding RNA (209 nucleotides) under Ursus maritimus (polar bear). RNAcentral describes it as "lncRNA (ENSUMAG00000013865.1)". Lineage: Eukaryota; Metazoa; Chordata; Mammalia; Carnivora; Ursidae. The record is from RNAcentral.